UUUUUUUUUUACUUUAUUCAACUCCUAAUCGCUGCCAAUAUAAAUACAAACACUCACGCACGUUCGUCAUAAAUUCUUAUACACAACUCCUUCCAUUUCUCCCAUCUCAAGUUUCUCGAGUUUUAUUUCAUUUCCCAAAAUAUCCCAGAAUUCAAAGAUCCUUCCUUCUGCAUUAAGCUUCUUGAAUCCAUCAAAUGGUUGCCUCUUCAGCCGUUUGAUCUUUCAAGAAGCAGAUCAGUUCAUUAAUUACAGAUUGCUUUCCGGCCCGGAAACCGUUAAAGAUGAUCGGAGAAUUUGUUACCAGAAGUUUAGUGUAAGUCAUAUAGUUAAUCUUUGGU
Long non-coding RNA from Olea europaea var. sylvestris, 338 nucleotides. RefSeq lists it as uncharacterized. The record is from RefSeq and is a predicted model, not a curated record. The transcript has 3 exons. Lineage: Eukaryota; Viridiplantae; Streptophyta; Magnoliopsida; Lamiales; Oleaceae.